UAGAGGUCAUAUGACUGACGGAAGUGGAGUACCACAUGAAGUAUGACUAGAUAAUGCCGACCGUCUGGGCGAUGACG
RNAcentral lists this non-coding RNA (77 nucleotides) under Anaerotignum neopropionicum. Its description in RNAcentral is "Clostridium neopropionicum ZTP sequence". It matches the Rfam family "ZMP/ZTP riboswitch aptamer (pfl RNA motif)". From Rfam's summary of the family: Previously known as pfl RNA. ZMP is also known as AICAR. The record is from Rfam by way of RNAcentral. Lineage: Bacteria; Bacillati; Bacillota; Clostridia; Lachnospirales; Anaerotignaceae.